UACGUAGGGUGCGAGCGUUAAUCGGAAUUACUGGGCGUAAAGGGUGCGCAGGCGGUUCUGCAAGUCAGGCGUGAAAUCCCCGGGCUUAACCUGGGAACUGCAUUUGUGACUGCAUGGCUGGAGUGCGGCAGAGGGGGAUGGAAUUCCGCGUGUAGCAGUGAAAUGCGUAGAUAUGCGGAGGAACACCGAUGGCGAAGGCAAUCCCCUGGGCCUGCACUGACGCUCAUGCACGAAAGCGUGGGGAGCAAACAGG
RNAcentral lists this ribosomal RNA (253 nucleotides) under uncultured bacterium. RNAcentral's name for it is "partial 16S ribosomal RNA". It matches the Rfam family "Bacterial small subunit ribosomal RNA", at positions 524 to 776 of the family's 1533-position model. The record is from RNAcentral.